CCAAUUGAACGAAAUGUGCUCCU
This 23-nucleotide non-coding RNA is filed under the name Rattus norvegicus (Norway rat). The record is from RNAcentral. Lineage: Eukaryota; Metazoa; Chordata; Mammalia; Rodentia; Muridae.